GCCGCUAUAGUUCAAUGGAUAGAACGAGGGGUUCCUAAUCCCUAGAUGUAGGUUCGAUUCCUACUGGUGGCACCA
RNAcentral lists this transfer RNA (75 nucleotides) under Minisyncoccota bacterium. RNAcentral's name for it is "tRNA-Arg". It matches the Rfam family "tRNA". Rfam says of the family: Transfer RNA (tRNA) molecules are approximately 80 nucleotides in length. Their secondary structure includes four short double-helical elements and three loops (D, anti-codon, and T loops). Further hydrogen bonds mediate the characteristic L-shaped molecular structure. tRNAs have two regions of fundamental functional importance: the anti-codon, which is responsible for specific mRNA codon recognition, and the 3' end, to which the tRNAs corresponding amino acid is attached (by aminoacyl-tRNA synthetases). tRNAs cope with the degeneracy of the genetic code in two manners: having more than one tRNA (with a specific anti-codon) for a particular amino acid; and 'wobble' base-pairing, i.e. permitting non-standard base-pairing at the 3rd anti-codon position. Lineage: Bacteria; Bacillati; Minisyncoccota. The record is from RNAcentral.